Molecule: long non-coding RNA, 676 nt
Organism: Hipposideros armiger (great roundleaf bat)
Lineage: Eukaryota; Metazoa; Chordata; Mammalia; Chiroptera; Hipposideridae
Exons: 3
Source: RefSeq, a predicted model, not a curated record
UUCAGGUUCUCAAAGCGGAUGCUGCUCACGCGGCCACUCUCCAUGGCCCCAGGCAACUCGGCUUCCAGCGCCUCCAGCACCUCCAGCAAUUAAGAUAAGAGUGAACAGAUGCUGGCCAAUGAAAUGUGAGGAAAGAUCAUCUGGGAGUUCUUAAGAUGAAGACCUCUGGAAGUGAUGCCUGGAGCUAUGGCAGCCAUCUUGUCACCAUGAGCCCGGGGGAACAAAUAUGGAAGAACCGGAAGGUUGUGAAGACCACAUUGAGAUCCGGCUUCCCCUAACUUCUGGGAGUCCCUUUGUGCCCCAAUUCCUUCCUUCGCACUUUCCUGUUUCUUCCUCUACCUCUCCCUGUCUCCUUGAGUCUCUACCCCUCCCCCUCUCUCCCCCUCUCUCUUUCUCAUUCUCUUCCCAUGUCUCUGCCCCUCUCCCUCUCUCCCGCUUUCCCCAUUGUGUUCCCCUGAUUUCUCCUAAUCUCUCUCCCCAUCUCUCUCCCACUCUUUCCCUUGAUUUCUCUGCCCUCUUUCUCUCCACUUCUCUCCCCCUCCUUUGUUCCAUUUCCCCAAUCUCCCCCUCUAUCAGUUUCCCCAAUGUCUCCCCAGCCCCCCUUCACUCCCUCUCUUCAUAGUUGUCUGCCUCUCUCUGACCCUGUCACCCUCUCUCUGUCUCCCCACCUCUCUCC